This 1325-nucleotide unclassified non-coding RNA is filed under the name Hermetia illucens (black soldier fly). Its description in RNAcentral is "serine protease snake-like, transcript variant X2". Lineage: Eukaryota; Metazoa; Arthropoda; Insecta; Diptera; Stratiomyidae. The record is from RNAcentral.
GAUGAAGUCUGCACGCAUUUUGAUUAUUUUUCCUUUGGUGUUUCUAAUAUUCCUUAAUAAAGUCUCAAACGGACAGGAUGACAUAUAUUUUCCAUUAGAUACUGAAAGGGCUGAAGGUGAGAAUUGUAGGCGAAGUGACGGAGUGGCGGGGACUUGCAGGAGAGUUGAAAAUUGCCAGCGAUCUGUUCGUCAUCUUCGGGACGAGGAUUUCUGCUCAUUUUCUGGACGUAUGGCAAUAUAUUGUUGCCCCAAUUCUGCGCCGAGAUUGGGUACAUCUGAGAUUCCCAUUACAUCUGUGGACGAGCUUUGCGAAGCAUUUUAUCCUAGACAGCAGCCACAUUACAAUAUCUUGAUAACUGGUGGAAGAAAAUCUUUAGCUAAUCAGCAUCCCUAUAUGGCUGCAAUCGGCUGGAGGGAUUUUGAUGGCGAAAUUCAGUGGAGAUGUGGAGGUAGCGUUGUUUCGCGUAAAUUUGUAUUAACUGCAGCACACUGCACCAUGGUAAGAAGAGCACGCCCUGACAUUGUUCGAACAGGAGAUCUGAAUUUACGCAUAACUGAGAAUAAUACGCACCCCGUAGACCAUGAUAUAAUUGGCAUUUACGUUCAUCCAGAAUAUCGUGCAAACUCAGUAUACCACGACAUAGCACUUUUGAAAAUAUCACCAAAUUUUGGGAUAUCACCGACGAAUCAACCAGCUUGCCUUUGGUCAUCAAAUAAUAUCCCAGUUAGCGAGCUUACGGCAUUGGGGUAUGGAACAACUGAAUACAGUGGUCCUGACGUGGAGAUAUUAUACGAAGUGGAAAUUCCCGUUUUAUCCAACCAAGCGUGUCGAAUAGAAUUACCGCCUAGUCGAUCUCUUCCUUUCGGAAUAAUAGAUGGACAAAUGUGUGCUCUGGAUCCGAAUGGUCAAAAGGACACUUGCCAGGGAGAUUCGGGAGGACCAUUACAAUUCUCAAAUAAUGUUGGUGGACGCAGGAGACCUACAAUAGUGGGAAUAACGUCGUUUGGCCAGUAUUGCGCUGGACCGUCUCCUGGAAUAUACACACGAGUAUCGGCAUAUUUGAAUUGGAUUGAGCCAAUAUUAUUAAGUGACCUAUAGUUUCCGGUAUAUUGAGUUCUAGAAGGUUUUUUUUAACUUAAUAGAAACGAAGUAUCUGUACCAAGAACAACUCAGUUAUGCUAUAUUCACUUAUAUUGAAGUGGCUGCCACUCGAUGUUGUUGCAGUUAUUUGCUACUUAGAGCUGUUCACUCGAUCUUAACAUAUGUAGUCAAACUAAUGAUGUAAAUGGCGCUGUAUGAAUGAAUGAAUUUACGUAAUUUAUUU